RNAcentral lists this long non-coding RNA (3583 nucleotides) under Sarcophilus harrisii (Tasmanian devil). RNAcentral's name for it is "lncRNA (ENSSHAG00000029986.1)". The record is from RNAcentral. Lineage: Eukaryota; Metazoa; Chordata; Mammalia; Dasyuromorphia; Dasyuridae.
GGUGGGGAGAGUGGAGUCCCACAGAAACAGGGAAGAUCAAUUGUUGGCAGGACCAUGGAAGGGACCGAGGAUAUUUAUAUAAAUCAAGGGUUGUCCCCCAAGAAGAGGGUCAAGAAGAAAGAUCCCCCAGCAGGUGCCGAUAAAUUUAAAGAAGACAAUGAACCUGAUUAUGAAAACAUCUCGGUGAUCACAAAGAACAAAAAUGAUCCUCUGAAGCAACAAUCAGUGUCCAUCCAAUGGGCCCCUCCUGCUUCAGCUCCAAGCAAUUCUUCAAGACAUUCCUCAGUGCAAAAGUCUCUCCUGGGAAUUUACCUCUUCCUGGGCCUGGCUUUCCUGCUGUGCAUUGUCUCCGUGUCUCUGUUAGUGGUGAAAAAUUCUGAAUUUUCCAUGCACCUGAGGAGUAUGAAAAUUGAGCUGUGGAAUGUCUCUAGCAUGCUCCAGAAGGAGCAGGAUAAUGCUCAGCAACUGAAGACUCAGAUCACCGAAAUAAAGAACACCACAAAAGUCUAUAACAAAGUCUUUCAACAAAUUUUAAGAGACCUGUCGGACAGUAGUUCUAAGUUGAAUUAUUUGAAAAAUCAAUUACAAAAACUGAAAGAGGCUCAAAAAUCAGGACCAAGUUCCAAACAUAAUUCAACUGGCUAAAAAAGGAGACCAACCUAUCGUCUGGAAGACUGCACCUUUGGGAGAAGCUUUGGGAGGGCCUCUGUGUCCUUCCUAUUAUGAGCUGGGUGUGUUUCUACAUUUGUGAAUAGAAUGUAACAUGCUUUAAGAUUCUCAAAGAAAAAGAAAAAUCAGACUCUGAACAUCACUCCCUCUUCUCUUAGUGUGUGCUCUCCCAAGUGUAGGUCUAUGAGGGUGCCUUGGUGUGUAUAAUUAUAUCAGGUCUUGUCUUUCUGUGUCUGGGGUUUACAAAAGGGGAUGAGUGUGUACAAGAGUAGGGCAGAGACCACCUCCAGGUAUAGGCUGUUAGGUAGGUACUGGAGGAAGAAAAGAUAGAAAGGUGUAAAGAUAGUAUAAAAAACAAAAGAUAGAAAUAAAAAAAUUUUAAAGAAAAGAAAAGAAAAAAAUUCAAAUUAAGCCAUUGGUAAAUACUGACCCCACUGAGGUCCCAGUGGCUAUCUUUACUUCCCAGUAAUAUUCCCUCAGUGGCUAAGCUUGGUGUAGAUCUCUGGAUACAGUUUACAUUUUAAAAUGUAAAAUCAUUAAUUUAUGAUAUUUUAUUUUUGGUCUGAACCUUUGAUUUCAUUGGUGGAGAGAAUUCCUUGGUGAAGAAAAUCUAUUACUGCAAAUGGACAAUAUACACAUGACAGAUUACGGGUUAUUUGCUAAAGGGAUAAAUGACAUAGAGAAUAAUGGAGAGGCACAUGGUGGGUAUGAACACCCUGUAACAUAUAACCAGUGAGGAAUUCUGAAGGAGACCAGGUUUAAAUGAUGUCCUCAAGAAGAGAAGAUGGGAUGGACAGAUGGAUAGCCACAGGUACCUUUGUGAUACCUUCUUCAAAAGUCUCCAGGAUGUUGGUUGAACUGAUGAAGGAACAAGAAAAUAAUAAGCAUUUAUUGAGCACCUAUUAUAUUCCAGUUGCUGUACUAAAUGGACACUGUUUGGUGGAUGCUAUUGUGAUUCCUCCAAGGAGGAUGGGAUUUGAACACACAUGUGCAAAGCAUAAUGAAUUAGCAGUUCAUUGCCUCAAUCACUCAGCCACCAGAGCAUUCGGAUCAUAUUGGUCUGAUCAGCCACAAUCAGAUGCAUUGUAACUCCAUUCUACCAGAGUGAUGUCAUUUUGGUCUGCUUUGAAAAGACAAUAACCAUUGUGAUUCUUAUUUUACAGUUGGGUAAACUGAGGUAGUUUUUUUUUUUUUUUUGCUCAAGGAUAUACAGCAAUUAAGUGUCUGAAGCUUGAGUCCUCCUGACUCUGGGGUUAAUGCUCUGUCUACUACAUCACCCAGCUGUGCCUCAGUUUUCACAAUUCUAAAAUGGGGAUAAUAAAAGCAUUUACUUCACAGGGUUGUGAGAAUCAAAUGAGAUAAUGUUUGUAAAAGGUUUAGUAUAGAGAUUUGCACAGAGAAAAUACAGUAAAAACACUCAGUUCCUUCCUUUUAACAUUUGAUACACUUGGUCAUAUCAUUGCUCUAUUCUGGGUUAAGGGAUGGGGAAAGAGGCUUUUAAGUGGGUUAAUUUAGGGCCCUUUGUCCUUUGUCCUUCUUGUCUAACCUAACCCUAUCAAAAAUAAGGUGAGAGUUCCUUGCUGAAUUUUUUAUGAGAUUUCCUCAAAGAUUGUGAGGUUAGCUCUUUACUAAGAGGAAACAGGAAUUUAGUUGAAUCUUGCUUUUGGAAUUGAGAAUGAAUGAAAGACUGAGGGUAUUUCUCAUUCAGAUCAAUCCAAAGGCUUCAGUCAUUCAGGCAGUCAACAAGCACUUAUUAAGCAUCUAGGAGGUGCAUUGGAUAAAGUAGCUAGUGUGGAGUCAGGAAGGCCUGAAUUCAAACAUUUACUAUCCGUGUGACUCUGGGCAAGUCAUAUGCCUCAUUUGCCUCAGUUUCCUUAUCUGUAAAAUAAACCAGAAAAGGAAUUGGCAAGUCACUGUACUAUUUUUGCCAAGAAAAUCCCCCAAAAGGGUCAUGAAGAGUCAAACAUGACUGAAAAACAGUCCAUUUUUUUUAAAUUAUAAAAUUUAUUUAUUUUUAAUACACAUUGCUUUAUGACUCAUAUUGGGAGAGAAAAAUCAGAGCAAAAGGGGAAAAGCAUGGGAGAGAUUAAAAAAAAAACAGAAAAAGAAGUGAACAUAGCAUGUGCUGAUUUACACUCAGUCUCAGCUCUUAAAUAACUUUCUUUCAAGGAACUACAGUUAAUGAGGGAGACAACACGUGAACCAUUAUGUACAAACAAGAUAUAGCCAGAACAAUUUGGAGAUAAUCAACAGAGGAAAGAUAUUGACAUUAAGGGGAAUCAGGAAAGGUUUCGUGUAAAAGUUGGGAUUUUAUCUGAGACUUGAGGAUAGUCAGAGAAGUAAGAGCAAGAAAUGAGGAAGGAGAGAGUUCCAGGAUGGGAGAUAGACAUGAAUCUGUCUGGAAUCAGGAGAUGGAAUGUUUGGUAUGAGAAGCAGUGAGGAGAAGCAAGUAGGAUGCUGGCAAAUGUUUAACAACCAGCUCUCUGGGAAAAAAAAAAGUACCUAUGGCACAUUUUUAUUUUUAAUAUAUUUUAGCAACUUUUUUCCCAUCACUUUCUUAAGUUUGGACAAUCAGCAGAAUGAUAGAUCAAGUCCUGAUGUGUAGGGGUUUGCUAAUUUUUGAGGUAUAAACAUUCAUACUGAAAAUUUAACAAUCAGCUGUGGGCUGGCUCCAACAAACCCUUGACAAAGGCCAGUGUCACUGAAUUGCAGGUGAUGAAUUGUGGUGGUGGUAUGAUGUGUGAGAAGACUGGAAAAGCAAGAAGGAGUCAAGUACUGGGGACCUUAAAAGUCAAACAGGACAGCUAGGUGAUCCCAGAGUGCACAGAGCACUGGGCUUGGAGUCAAGGAAAACUCAUCUUCUGAAUUCAAAUCUCACCUCAGAUACUUACUAACUGCAUGAUCUUGGGCAACU